This is a long non-coding RNA of Peromyscus californicus insignis, 4293 nucleotides long. RefSeq lists it as uncharacterized. NCBI's taxonomy places the organism in Eukaryota, Metazoa, Chordata, Mammalia, Rodentia, Cricetidae. The transcript has 4 exons. The record is from RefSeq and is a predicted model, not a curated record.
GGAGGCAGUGAGGGGUCACAGAUGGAACCGGGAGCCCAAUUUCCGCCUGGCUUGGCUCCUGGAGCUCCGUUUACCACGCAGCCUUACACUAUAUCCAAGGGUUUGGCCCACGCUAACAUGCCACGAUUCUAAAAGGCAAGCUCCCCGUUUCUUUCUGAGAAACUUCGGAAUAGUUGUUACUUCAGAUUGAAGUGACGUGCCCAGUCCUGGAAGAGAACCAGUCUGUUAGCUCCAAAGAACACGCCUUCCUGACCAUCUGAUUUGCCCGCCGGCAGUGGGCGCGCAGGGCUAGCUAACUGAAAGAAUGGUACCAGCCCAGACUGCAGAGCCUGGAGGUGUGCUCUCAAGGCUGCCCUGGGGUUGCUGGGAGCCUUAGCCUGCAGGCAGGCCUGAUGGUUACAGUCUGGGAGGAUGACAUGCCAACGGCGAUGGAUUGAGUAAAUGACCAUUGAGAGAAGGAGGCCAAUGGGAAGUAGCAAAUGUUUCCAGUCUCUCAGGGGAAGACAGGAGACUCAUGACAUCAUCUUUUUAAACGAAGCCAGCCCAUUUACCUCUAUCUUUUUCUCAUCACUCUAGGGCAUGGGCUUCUUGAGGGUGGAGGUGGGGAUCUAUACUCAUUUUAUAUUCCCCUGCUCUUAGCGUAUUAUCUGGUCAUGUAUAAUAAAUGGGAGUCAGAAGAAUGAGUAAAUGAAUGUAUUGGGUUUUACAGCAGUUAAAUGUAUCUAUUAGCUCAAACCUGCAUUCAGAUCCUAAAGCACUUCCCAUCUGUGUGAAGUUGGUGUUGUACAGCUUCUUCUCGUCACCCCAUUUCCCUCGUUUAUUAAAUAUGGAAACAAUACCGCAAAGGAUUUCUGUGAAAACUGAAUGAAGUGACCAUGGCUGUUAGCAUACCAAGUGCUUCCUAGAUGCCUUUGCUAUAUCUUUGUGAAUCCCCAUUGGUCGAACCUUUGAACUGUGAGGCCUACUAGGGAGCCCUAACGUCAUCAAGAGGUGUGCUCAAUAAAUCCAGCUUUCACUAAUCAAGAGGGACCGUGGGAUCCACAGCUUCGCCUUCUUCAUAUCCUUGUUCCUUUCAAAACAGCAUUCAGGUUUCCAGGAUAGCUCAUCAAACUGGAUCCUGGUGAGAACAUUCUUGGAAAGCAAGGAGCUGGAAGUAUUAUGUCAUGAGGAGAAAGCCUGACCUGGCUGGUGAGCCCAUGUGGCACUCACCUCCCCCUUCUCAGGCGUCUCAGAUUCUUUCCAGUAUUUGCACCAGUUCCCAGGGCUGUAUCUACCUUGCAGUGCACUACCACAAUCAAUACGGUGCAAUAUCAGCGAAUCCCAUUCUGUAACCGUCCCAGAUUGACUACUAUAUCUGUCUUCAUCACGGUAAAUGAAAGAUGCCAUUGCAGAGUCUUUCUUUCCAUUUUUCUUUAUUGCAGAGUGUGUCCUUCCUGGCUCUGUCUGUGAGAUCAGCUGUAUUGUUACUCUUAAUGAUCAUCCAGGAAUCCUCUUGACAACUGUUAUAGUUCAUAAUUCACCAGAUAAUUUCCUUCAAAAGAGCGAUACGUACCAUUUCCUUUCACGGCGCUUUCCUACCUCGUGUGAGGAUCUGUUGUAUGGGACUAUCUCCCAAGCCAAACUGCCACCAUCUUCAGUUCUACUGAACCCCAUCUCAAAAGAUCAUCACCACUGGGCCUGUGGACUAUUUUUAACCUCUCAUAGAAGGAGGGAGGAGGGGGAGGCGUGGAAUCCUAACCUGAGUAUCCAGGUGUAGCUAGAGUUUUCCUGCCUGACCCACAGUCAGGACAAAUCUCUCUCACCUGCCAGUCCCACAGCCGCUCAGACCCAACCAAGUAAACACAGAGACUUAUAUUGCUUACAAACUGUAUGGCCGUGGCAGGCUUCUUGCUAACUGUUCUUAUAUCUUAAAUUAAUCCAUUCCUAUAAAUCUAUACCUUGCCACGUGGCUCGUGGCUUACUGGCAUCUUCACAUGCUGUUUCUCAUCAUGGUGGCAGCUGGCAGUGUCUCUCUGACUCAGCCUUCCACUUCCCAGGUUUAUUCUCCUCCUUGUCCCGCCUGGCCACUGGCCAAUCAGUGAUUUAUUUAUUGACCAAUCAGCAACACACUUGACAUACAGACCAUUCCCGCAGCAUCCAGGCAUCCCUCCUAACCAGUUGUAUGCAAUCUUGCCCUAGUUACAUGUGGUCUUGGGGGAGGAGAUAGAUAGAGGAUAUAGACGGGGAAGAAUGAGGGGAUGGGAUUCCAUUGAUGCAACCCUGGGGAAGCCAUCAUCCUUGCUGUGUGGAUAUUUUAAGGUCCUCUGUGAUCCUGCCCAGUAAGCUCACUGGUUCCCAGGGUGAGCUCUGGCGCAGUCAGACCUCUUUGCUGUUAAAUAUCUAUGAUCUCAACUACGUGUGUAGCUAAGUGGUUAUUGUGUAGAUUUUAUUUGUAUUCAUGAUUAUGUCCUACAUGAUAGAAUAGAGAUUAUAAACUACAGAAGAUACCUGGAAUCCUAGCACUUGGGAUGUAGAGGCAGGAGGGUCAGGAGGUCAAGGUCACCUUUGGCUGCACAGUGAGUUCAAAGCCAGCUUGGACUACUUACGAUCUUGCAUCAAAACAAAACAAAGUAAGCUUCUGUCUCGUGUGUGACAAAGGACUCCACUGUUGACACUGACGUUACUUUUCCUACUCAAGGCGUGUGUUUUUCAAGCAUCCUUUAUGGUCCUAAGUUCCGAGUUUGCUCUGCUGAAGUGCAGAAACACAGGACUUGGCUUGUUGGACCUUACAGAGCCAGGCCUUAGCUUUUUAAGUAGUAGGACUUCCUUAGAACCGCCUUUGUUGAUGAUAUUUGUUGUAACUGAAAGUCUUGUACUUUGGACCUCUGUAAGUAAAGGGUGGUUUGCUCCUGGCUUAAAAAAUCCGCUUCAACUCUGAACAUCAACGACCACACAUGAGGCUAAGGAAGGCCAGGAGAUAGGUAUGCAUAUGUACUAAACCUGGUCUGUGUGUGCUCAGAAUGCGGAGGACACAGCAGGAGAAGAGCCUGGGUCCUAGAAGUAGGUGUAGCAACUGGGAUCUGGGUUAAACACCUAGAAGCAAGUAGGCUUCUCCUGGGGGAUAAAGCUCUUGUUAGAGAGUCAAGGCAAUCGAGGCUGUCAGCCAAAGUGUUCUUCUGGUGAGAUGAAAUAGGAUUUCUAAAUAAAUAAUGCGGUGGUUUAAAAGAAAAUGGCCCCCAAAGGGAGUGGCACUAUUAAGAGGUGUGGUCUUGUUGGAGGAAGUGUGUCACUGUGGAGACAGGCUUUGAGGGUUCAUAUGUGCUCAAGCCACACCCAAUGACACAGUACACUUCCUGUUGCCUUCUGUUCAAGAUGCAGCCAACACCACGUCUGCCUGCAUGCUGCCAUGCUCGCCACCAUGAUAAUGGACCGAACCUCUGAACUGUAAGCUGCCACUUCAACUAAAUGUUUUCCUUUAUAAGAGUUGCCAUGGUCAUGGUGUCUCUUCACAGCACUAGAAACCCUAACUAAGAGAGAUAAUAUGGUGUCAUAUAUUCAAGGGCAGGGGAGAGAGUUCAGAAUCCAAGCAGGACUACUGGUGUCCCAUUGGUUCAUAGGUAGCAGGUCCCAACCCUAGGCAGAACUGGUGACCUAGAGAUGUUAAUGCUAGGUAUUUGCAAGAGUUAAGAUAAUUGCAAGAUACAAAUAUAGCUGAAAUAGCAAAGCAACCACAAAGAGCUUGGUUCCAAAAUCCAGUUAUCAGUCUUAGAGAAUGGGAACAGAGUCAAACAGAUGCUGACAUUGGGUCCAAGGCCCAAAGGGAAGCCACGUGAGAAGCACAUGCUGAUUAAGGCCAGGGUGAAGGCUGGCUCAGCCUCACAAGAGUGGAGGAUACAGGAGAUGCAGGGGACAGACAGGGCCCUUCCCUGCAGUUGGCCACUUGUUCAUCUGCACGAGGGGGCAUAUGUGGGCCUGAAAUCCAGCUUGCAUUCUGUUCACCAAGCCCUGUGCUCUGGAGCUGGGCUGCAUGUGGAAAAGGACACCUUUUCUGAUUCACAAGACAUUAACUCUUGGGCCAGUAUUGGCUUUGGGGGAGUGCUAAAUUUGUAUUCCAGGGCUAGAAGCUUAUUAUAAAGUCAACUGUUAGGGUUUAUCACUGUGAUCAUUGUGUCCUAUACCUCAAAUGUAUUUUCAUUCUCUGUCUGUCUAUCUAUCUAUCUAUCUCUCAAGAUUCCACAGUGUUCAUUCUAGAGGCUCAGAAGCAAAUGUUGAAUUAAAGAAUCUACUCACUGGGUCUUAGUGGUUUGUACACAA